Molecule: ribosomal RNA, 301 nt
Filed under: uncultured bacterium
Lineage: Bacteria
Description: partial 16S ribosomal RNA
Rfam family: Bacterial small subunit ribosomal RNA
Source: RNAcentral
CAGCAGCCACGGUAAUACGAAGGGGGCUAGCGUUGCUCGGAAUGACUGGGCGUAAAGGGCGCGUAGGCGGCGGCCAAAGUCAGGCGUGAAAUUCCCGGGCUCAACCUGGGGGCUGCGUUUGAUACUUGGUUGCUUGAGUGGGGAAGAGGGUCGUGGAAUUCCCAGUGUAGAGGUGAAAUUCGUAGAUAUUGGGAAGAACACCAGUGGCGAAGGCGGCGACCUGGUCCUUUACUGACGCUGAGGCGCGAAAGCGUGGGGAGCAAACAGGAUUAGAUACCCGCGUAGUCCCUGUCUCUUAUAC